CUUUAAUUAUGAGUCCCUCAUAUGUUUGUAGUCACCUGUCUUUCCCUUCCUUUUAUUAGUGGGAGAAGGAGGUAUGUUUUAAAUCUAAAAAGGAAGGGAAACACAGGUGAAUACAAACAUAUGAGGGACUCAUAAAGUUG
This is a non-coding RNA of Pelobates cultripes (western spadefoot toad), 140 nucleotides long. The record is from the annotation of a GenBank genome assembly. NCBI's taxonomy places the organism in Eukaryota, Metazoa, Chordata, Amphibia, Anura, Pelobatidae.